RNAcentral lists this ribosomal RNA (426 nucleotides) under uncultured bacterium. RNAcentral's name for it is "bacterial SSU rRNA". It matches the Rfam family "Bacterial small subunit ribosomal RNA", at positions 30 to 458 of the family's 1533-position model. The record is from RNAcentral.
AUUGAACGCUGGCGGCAUGCCUUACACAUGCAAGUCGAACGGCAGCACGGGAGCAAUCCUGGUGGCGAGUGGCGAACGGGUGAGUAAUAUAUCGGAACGUGCCCAGUCGUGGGGAUAACGUAGCGAAAGCUACGCUAAUACCGCAUACGAUCUAUGGAUGAAAGCGGGGGAUCGCAAGACCUCGCGCGAUUGGAGCGGCCGAUAUCAGAUUAGGUAGUUGGUGAGGUAAAGGCUCACCAAGCCGACGAUCUGUAGCUGGUCUGAGAGGACGACCAGCCACACUGGGACUGAGACACGGCCCAGACUCCUACGGGAGGCAGCAGUGGGGAAUUUUGGACAAUGGGCGCAAGCCUGAUCCAGCAAUGCCGCGUGCAGGAUGAAGGCCUUCGGUUGUAACUAGCUUUGUUACGGUAACGAACGGUAGAG